UAGCUGCCUGGGUGUCCUGGCGAGUAGCACGUGACAUAUCAGUGGAAAUGCGGAUGUCACGGUGGGCUGUAUGCAUCUCAGUCGUCAAAGUCCCCAUAACCCGCUGGAGACUCUGCAUGUCUCGGCUGGUCCCCGUGGUGGUGGUGAAAAUCUGGCGCCACAACUAUGCAUUUAACUCAGCCUGUGAUGGAGGAGCUUGAGGCAUUUCUUGCUCUGCUUGCUCGUGACCUUGCUCUCCCUGCUGUCUGCGCCUCUCAAUUUCUUGCUUCUCCCAAUGCUUUAACCUGGCUCUGUCUUGGGCCUCCAAAGUACUGCGCUUUAUGGUGGGGCUGGGUUUGGCAGCCACCUCCCCGGAUACAAUGUUUAUACCAGCAGCUAUGCAAAUUCCGGAGAUGAGGCUUGGGAAGAUCAUUGAGCUGUGUCUAUCUCCCAAAGUACCCACAUGAUGUAUCUG
This 454-nucleotide long non-coding RNA is filed under the name Olea europaea (common olive). Its description in RNAcentral is "long non-coding RNA (OEUR_LNC013509)". The record is from RNAcentral. Lineage: Eukaryota; Viridiplantae; Streptophyta; Magnoliopsida; Lamiales; Oleaceae.